CUAGUUGCUAGGGACAUUACAGAUGUGGCUACUUUGUCACAUGAGUGUCAGUAGGUGGCAGAGAAGAGAGAGGCUGUGUUGAUGCUCAGUGUUCCUGACUCUAUGAACAUAUGAAUGAUUAGUAGCUUAACAUC
Molecule: small nucleolar RNA, 134 nt
Organism: Grammomys surdaster
Lineage: Eukaryota; Metazoa; Chordata; Mammalia; Rodentia; Muridae
Product: small nucleolar RNA SNORA17
Exons: 1
Source: RefSeq, a predicted model, not a curated record